RNAcentral lists this ribosomal RNA (497 nucleotides) under uncultured bacterium. RNAcentral describes it as "partial 16S ribosomal RNA". It matches the Rfam family "Bacterial small subunit ribosomal RNA", at positions 28 to 507 of the family's 1533-position model. The record is from RNAcentral.
GACGAACGCUGGCGGCGUGCCUAAUACAUGCAAGUAGAACGCUGAAGAGAGGAGCUUGCUCUUCUUGGAUGAGUUGCGAACGGGUGAGUAACGCGUAGGUAACCUGCCUUGUAGCGGGGGAUAACUAUUGGAAACGAUAGCUAAUACCGCAUAACAAUGGAUGACACAUGUCAUUUAUUUGAAAGGGGCAAUUGCUCCACUACAAGAUGGACCUGCGUUGUAUUAGCUAGUAGGUGAGGUAAUGGCUCACCUAGGCGACGAUACAUAGCCGACCUGAGAGGGUGGUCGGCCACACUGGGACUGAGACACGGCCCAGACUCCUACGGGAGGCAGCAGUAGGGAAUCUUCGGCAAUGGGGGCAACCCUGACCGAGCAACGCCGCGUGAGUGAAGAAGGUUGUCGGAUCGUAAAGCUCUGUUGUAAGUCAAGAACGGGUGUGAGAGUGGAAAGUUCACACUGUGACGGUAGCUUACCAGAAAGGGACGGCUAACUACGUG